AGUGGUAUAGCUCAGUGGUUGAGCGCAUGCCUAGCAUGCGCGAGGUCUUGGGUUCAAUCCCCAGGACCUCUG
This 72-nucleotide transfer RNA is filed under the name Camelus bactrianus (Bactrian camel). It matches the Rfam family "tRNA". Rfam says of the family: Transfer RNA (tRNA) molecules are approximately 80 nucleotides in length. Their secondary structure includes four short double-helical elements and three loops (D, anti-codon, and T loops). Further hydrogen bonds mediate the characteristic L-shaped molecular structure. tRNAs have two regions of fundamental functional importance: the anti-codon, which is responsible for specific mRNA codon recognition, and the 3' end, to which the tRNAs corresponding amino acid is attached (by aminoacyl-tRNA synthetases). tRNAs cope with the degeneracy of the genetic code in two manners: having more than one tRNA (with a specific anti-codon) for a particular amino acid; and 'wobble' base-pairing, i.e. permitting non-standard base-pairing at the 3rd anti-codon position. The record is from Rfam by way of RNAcentral. Lineage: Eukaryota; Metazoa; Chordata; Mammalia; Artiodactyla; Camelidae. RNAcentral also lists the same sequence under 2 other names.